CGGUGAGAGUGGCAGACGGGUGAGUAACGCGUGGGAACGUACCUUUCAGUUCGGAAUAUUCUCGGGAAACUGGGAGCAAUACCGGAUACGCCCUUAGGGGGAAAGAUUUAUCGCUGAAAGAUCGGCCCGCGUUGGAUUAGGUAGUUGGUGGGGUAAAGGCCUACCAAGCCUACGAUCUAUAGCUGGUCUGAGAGGAUGAUCAGCCACACUGGGACUGAGACACGGCCCAGACUCC
RNAcentral lists this ribosomal RNA (235 nucleotides) under uncultured bacterium. Its description in RNAcentral is "partial 16S ribosomal RNA". It matches the Rfam family "Bacterial small subunit ribosomal RNA", at positions 87 to 339 of the family's 1533-position model. The record is from RNAcentral.